GCGUCAGUCGCAAGAUGAAGCGUUGGAUUGAGGCCCGAGUAAACGGCGGCCGUAACUAUAAUGGUCCUAAGGUAGCGAAAUUCCUUGUCGGUUAAAUACCGACCUGCAUGAAUGGCGUAACGAGAUGGGAGCUGUCUCAACCAGAGAUUCAGUGAAAUUGUAGUGGAGGUGAAAAUUCCUCCUACCCGCGGCAAGACGGAAAGACCCCGUGGACCUUUACUACAACUUAGCACUG
This 235-nucleotide ribosomal RNA is filed under the name Helicobacter pylori. Its description in RNAcentral is "partial 23S ribosomal RNA". It matches the Rfam family "Bacterial large subunit ribosomal RNA", at positions 1887 to 2119 of the family's 2925-position model. The record is from RNAcentral. Lineage: Bacteria; Pseudomonadati; Campylobacterota; Epsilonproteobacteria; Campylobacterales; Helicobacteraceae.